AAUGUAGUCUCUUCGUGGGGAGGCGGUGGGAAACUACAGGUGCCGCCAUGCGCUGCGGCGGCCGCGCCCCCUCCGCUCAGCGGGGAGGUCCGGGUGGCUCUGUCCGCCUCGCCCGUGCGGCAGGCUCUCGGCGCGUUGGUUAGGCCGGAGUCUCUGGUUUUGGUCCGGAAGCACCGCGUCAGGCCCCGCUGAACCCGGCGGAGUUCGAUAGGGCGGCUGUCGGAGUGGUCGUGGCACCGGCAGGAAGACCGGCGCGAGCGGAGCGCCGCCAGUCUGGCGCAGUGAAGGGAGAGACUUGCAGCUCGUGCAGCAGACUUCAUGCUUCUGUUUGUACAUCCGUUAGUUUCAACGGUCGCUGCUGGUGGUAGUACGUAGAAAGCAUAAGGGAUGACAGAACUAAUGAAAUCACUAUGAUUUCACUGUGAGGGUGCUGAGGCCCUGGUACAGGGUGCCCAGAGAAGCUGUGGCUGCCCCAUCCCUGGCGGUGUUCAAGGCCGGGCUGGACGGGGCUUGGAGCAAGCUGCUCUAGUGGGAGGUGUCCCUGCCCGUGGCAGGGGGUUGGAGCUGGAUGAGCUUUAAGGCCCCUUCCAACCCAAACCAGUCUGGGAUUUCUGUGUCUUCUCAUGAGUGACCUAAGGUGAGACAAGCUGCUGUGUUCAGAAUGCAUCAGUAAGACAGGUAGUACCACCACCACAGGCACAUGAGACCACACAGUUAUGUGGGCUUUAGCACUGCUGCUCAGAGUAGAAAAAAUAAUUAGCAGAUAGUAGUGACUGCUGCGUAGUUACAAUAGCUCUUGCUUAUAGCCUUACUUAUUAUAAGCUCUUACUUGGUUGGGGCUGAGAUUUUUCACGUGGUUUCAAUCCCCCGAAAGAGUUUAUUUCAUAGCUGUUUUAUCACUGUCUAAUAACUAUUGCUCUAAUCAUGGGUUGGUGCUUUUAUCCGUAUUUAUUUUUUGACUGAGGGAAGGAAUUUGUUAGGCUUGCAUGAUGUCAGGUGUAGGUACAGGAACGUAAGUAUUGCAGUAGCAGAACAGGCUGGUUUUCCGCCAUGCUUUCUAUCUACUUUUCAGGUUCCCAUAUGCAUCCAAGCAAGGAAGGAAAGCGUAUGCUGAAGCCAAGUCUGAGUAAAACCCUGUGUGGGAUGUUUUUGAGUGCCAGGACCAGUGGAAAACAGCAUUCUAUACUCAUGUUUUAAGCUCAUAUAUUGUGAGUAGUUAAUUAAGGAUGACUGAAUAUUGGGAAGUGAAGUGUAAAUUUUGUGUGUACUCUUUAUGAAGACUGACGUUAGCCAUGUCUUGAAUAUAUAGGGUAUAGCUAAGCAUUUUUUCUUAAUCUCUGUGUCAUUACAGAUCAGGGGAAACGAAAAGUAUACCAAUGACUAUCAAUUUCACGAAAAAAGUGCUGUGCCAAAGUGGUCACUUGGCAUACUCAUUCCAUCAUUAGCCAUGUAAUCUAUGCUGCCAAACCAGAAAUAUCAACUAGUUUCAUACACACCAAUGAGCAGUUGCUAGAUGGUCGUUAAGCUGAGUUAGCCUUACUUGUAAGAAUCUGUGUAUUACUGCUCAUAUAGAUUGGUUUUUAAUGUAUGCUCAUACAGAUUGCUUUUUGUGAUGUAUGACUGCUGACACAUACGUGUAGGAAUGACAAUAUUUUUGAAGUUUUGUGUGAGAAAUUGCUUGGUCCCAUUUUGGUAUGUAGAAGUCAAGACUGACACUUCCUGGGAAGGCAAAUGCCUGCACUUUUAUUUAGGUGAAAGGGUUUGAUGCAGCAGGAGAAUUUACACUAUGCAAAAGCACAGCAAAAUACUGACAUCCUUUUCAUUAGGAAAAAAGCUAGGUGAGUUUGGGAAAAUCUGAAUUGAUGGGGUCACUUUCGUGCUUAGUGGUGGCUUUAAUGUUGUUUUGGGUUUUUUUAAAUUGUCAUAGAUGUGUUUGGGAGCAUAUUUCAUGCAGCAGAACAAGAGAACAAUAUUGUACACAAAUACAGUACAAAGACUCCACUGUCAGAACCACAACUGAAACACAGUCAUACAACAAGUUCUUACCAUGUGCUUCAUGACCACAAUCCUAGGACAACCAGGACAUUCGUGACUUCUCCCAUGCUACAGUUUUCAUGUCUGAGUUUGUCACACUGAUCUUUACAAGCUUGAGAAUAGCCAGCAAAAUCCUCAUGGAAGGCUGUUGUGCAAGGUAUUUUCAUCUAGUUCCUCUGUGUUAUGCUGCCCAGAUCAAGUAAGCCAAGAAACACAGCUCCUAGGGCUGCGUCUUGGUCGUUCCCUUUAGUAGCAGCAUGUGCACUCUGUGCACCAGUGGAAAGAGCAAAUGGAACUCGGGCAUUCCAACAGAAUGUCAAAGACAAAAUGCUAGUGGGGGUGGCAUACCUGUCUUCAAGGUAUGAGUGCCUGCCUUUAUGUUUCAUGGUUUGUUGGGACAUGUGAGAGGCUUUUAUAAAAAGAUAUAUGCUUCAAAAAAUUGUUCACUGUAGUGCUUUACAGCAGGAGAUGGGAGAGGAUUAUGUAGUAGAAUACAAAUGAAAAUUAAUUCAACUUUGUUCAGUAUCUGUUGAAAAACAAACAGGAACUUACUUAUCUACCUGUAGUCCUCUUCAUUUAUUUUUUAAGACAAGUGGAGCAAUUGUCACGCAAUUCUGCCUGUGUUAAUUCAUAUGAUAUAGUCAAAUGAAUAGCCACACCAACUUCAGUGGGAUUGUGUGUAUAAGUGCUGCCGAUCAUGGUAUACUGAGGGAACUGAGUUUUAACUGACGUUUAAAAAGUGAUCAUCCACUCGGACCAUAAAAAAGAAGCUGUUUUUACAAUGGAAAACUUCCUGUUGUGUAUAAAUGUAAAGAAUUAACUCUAUUGAUUAACUAAACUUUUAGAACAGUCUAAUUGGAACAGUUCCUGAUAAGGAAACAUGGAUUAAUGACAGUGUUUAUUGGGAUACAAAUACAGUGAAAAAGAAUUAAACACUAACUGUGAACUCAAGUUAAAAGAAAUUCAAUUUGUGAAUCACAGUCCACAUUGCUCAAAAAGCUUCCAUAUGACAACAGAAGUGCUAAGCACAGGGAAAGGAAGGGAGGCCACAGGAGCUCCUGUUUUCUUGUCUUGAUGUAACGUUAUUAAUGUUGAUGGCAUUUCUCCAGCAAAUGUUUCACAUAAAUCAUCUGUCAUCACUUGUGACAGAAUGGUGGCAUAAAGGAGUAUUACAAUUGCCCUGUGAUCUACCUAAAGCUAAUUGCUUGCAUAGGUUUUGAUAGUUUUCAUCUGACAGGGAAAAAAAUGAUUAAAAACAUGGAUUUAUGUUCUGAUGUACACUUCUCAGAUGGAGUUAAAAUUUUUAAAUCUUCCCCCUUUCUUUUGUCCUUAUCCAUUCCAGAUCUCUGUAAUGUCCUUUUUCUAUUAUUCUAAUUUCUUCUAUCUCUUCCACAUCUAGAGUUGUUUGACACAUCUCUAACUCCAUCCUUUCCAUCUUAGUACUCCACCUGGUAUCAAUCUGUUGGUCCUUCCCUUUCCUUAUUCCUUCCAGAGCUGUUUCGUUUUCUAAACUCUACGACUGCUGGGACUUUCUGUGCCCAUCAGGAUUCUCACAGUUGCAUAUUUUCUUUAGUACUCUGAUUUUUAACUCUUUCGUAAUAGCUCUUAUGUUUUGUUUCUUUGUUUUCAAGAAGGGCACGUUUCUAAUGCUUUGAUUUGAGAAGAUCGGAAGACCUACCUAGCCCGUCCCUUGAUUGACCCUUCAGGUUUCAGCUACUGCUGGUAGGUUCCUAUGCUUCUGCUUCUCCUAAGGGAGCCUCACUGCCUGUUGUGCAUAAAGAUUGGUGAUGUAUGGAGUGCAGAAAGCAAAACCUGUCAGGGCUAGUCUGCUCUCACAGAAGAACUUUAAGACAGAGUGACAGCUAAGAGGCAUCCGCCAGUGGUGUGACAGAGCCUACGAACAACUACAAGCCUGGGUAGCUCUUAAACUACUAGAAAUGAGCAGUUUGCUUUUCCUUGGCACCUGCUGCAUGAGAGCAGUCCUGUCUGGUGGGCCAGAAUCUAUUCACCACGGUGCGCUGCUGCCAGCAUGUGCUGUGGAUCACGGCAUUCCUAGCAGUUUUGUCUGCCAGUGUCAGCAUCAGGCCUGCUGGAAUCUUCACAUGCUUUCAACUAUUUUAUUGUAACUCCUUCUCACUUCCUGUUUGUUCCCUGCUAUUUUGCCACUGUUGCUGCUGUUUUUCCAUUCUUUCCAGUCCUCCCAGUCCAGGUGUCCCUCCCAACGGCCAUGGACCACACAAUCUCCCAUAUUCCACCCCUUCUGCUACUGCAGGGGCAUCACCCACAGCCUCACUCUCCCUCUGCAGAAAAUAACUAUCAUUCCUGCUGUACUACACACCAUGGCUAUAGGAGGACAUGAGUUAAAUAACUAAAUUGUCUUGAGACUGAGCACCAUGUAAGGGUUACAGCAUGAUCGUAUUUGUUCUGGGCAAUCAAUUUAAUGUAAUGGGAAACUCCAUCCAAAGCCAGAUCCUAGGAAAAAGCUGCGUGAGGCUGUCAAAUGCAUAAUGUUACCCUUGUCUGGUACAGCUCUAUGCAGAAACUUCACACUUCCACGAAAUGUUACUCAAAAGGGCAGAUUUGGCCCAGAAGUAUUGUGGCUGGAUGGUAAUCUAUCUGAGAAAUCACUUUUACUUUUCUGCUAAUUACAAACUCUUUCAGAUUCUGAGAUCCACAUUCCUAUUUCUGGAAACAAAUCCAUGACCUUCAAUAAUUAAUUUGCUGUAAUAGUCAACAGGAAAAUGGAACUGUCAUUUAUCUUUCAACUUGACUUUGUGUACAGACUCAGGCAAUUACAUCUCCAUCUUUUAGUUAAUUUUAUCUGCUACAGACUCAGUUAAAUUUACUUGCGGAUUUCAGUUAUUUCCUGAAAGUCUGCAGGAUAUGAACAAUUGCUGUUUGUAUAUUAAUCACUGAAAUGUUUUAUCCUGAUGUCCUAAGGAAAUAAAGCUUAUAUGAGCAAUUCAUAUGUUUGUGUACACAGUUUAUCUGUCCUUUUCCUGUGCCCUGUCUCUGUCAAAUUGAGUAAUCUUAAUUACUCAAUUUCAAAUACUAAGAAAAGUCAUUCUUUUAGAAAUGAAUUGUGUAGUCCUUAAAUGCCGUGUUGUCCCUAAUAGUUUUGGGUUUUUUUCUUCCUUUCACUGAGGAAAAGGUAACAAUAUGAACCUUCUACCUAGUAGUCUUAAGAAAAGCCACGCAUGAGAGCAAUGAGUGCCCCAACCACAGAAAAAGCUUCGGUUGGUGAGCGUGACUUAUUAAGCACUGUUGUAAGCCACAAAUGCAGAAGGAACCAAUAUAAGCAGUUUUGCUGCUCACAGAACCUCUGGGUUUUGUUCGCUGAAUGCUGGGUCACAUGGCAUGCAUGGGAAUAAAGUUUGAAAAUAAUUAUAAUGGAUAUUUAAAUAAACUAGUAAAUGUUGAAGUUUCAAAUGCCUUUAGCUGUGUAUCUGUAAAGAAAAAACAUUUCUUGCUUUAUUAAAAUUGUCAGAUUUACAAUCAGACUUUUUUUCCAUGAGGUCAGCACAUUCUUGUGGCUGGAAGAGGUCCAUAUGUGCUAGCUUUCCACCAAGAAAUGCCUGCUACACCAUCAGUGGCAUAGAAGAAUGUGGGGUAUGACACCAUCUGUCCCUUGUGCUGCGCAGAAGACGUCCUCUGAGAGUGGGGCUGUGCAGAUGGAGCAGCUUGGACAACAGAGACAGUUCCCUUGUGGGCCACUUAGUUGAACUUGACUGAAGAAUGUCUGCCCCUGGAAAGAAAAAUAUUUGGUUUCCAACAGAGAACUGGAAGUUUCUGUGCCAAAUGGGACAGUGUUUGGAUCAAGCUGGAACCGAAUGGAAAGAAGAUUAAAUUAUCAUGCUAAGACUGAAAGUUAUUAUAUAGAUACCUAAAACCCAAAUACACCUAUGUGGGUAUCUAUCUACUGUGAAUGUUCCUCCUUUCCUAUUUUCAAUCACUGUUAACUGCAUAAACCUAAGGUAUAGUAAUUCUUUGGAACUUCCUCUCAAAAAUAUAGGCACAUUUUGUUAAAUGUGUAACAUAGGCAGCAAGUGAUAUGGUCGUAUCAAGCUGUUUAAAAGAAGACAAGUGCAGGUCAGAUCUAUCUUCAAAGACUACAGGGCCCUGCAAAAUUCAUAGUACCAGAGCUAGAUGCCUUUCUAUCUAGUGUCACAUACAAUUAUAGUUUAGUCUGGAGGUGCUCUCUCUCUGUUGCCUGUCCCAGCAAUGUCAGAAUUUCAGUAUUAAGACUCAAUAUAUUAUACAGAUUUUUAGUUCAGAACCAGUAUAUUUGAAUCAAGGGCAACUACUGUCAGCAGAUGAAGAUUUCAGCUUUUAUCACCCCCUUCCAAACACACAUCUGCUCCAUAUAGGUACAUGUGUUUGUGUCUGAAUGCAUAUAUAUGCAUACACGUGUUAUUUUGGCACUGGUACUCAGAUCUUGUUCAUAGUACUGUUUUCCAUUAUCUGUCCUUGCAUAUCUCCUUUCAGUGGACACAAUAUAUACUUAUAGAUUGAGAAUUUGAAAGGAAAAGAAUCCAUAUUUUCUGUGAAGGCAUCUGUGUGGUUUUAUGUAAGAUUUUUAUAAGACUGAAUUUAAAAAGGGCAAAGAGAACAUCAUAAAGAUAAACCUAUAGAAUUUAAUGGAAUGAUAUAACUUAUAUUUCUCAUUUAUCUUAUAGAUUUCAUUAGGAAGUAGAAGUCACAUUAUAAAAUCUUGUAAGAUAAUGUAAGAAAUAAGAAGGACAGGUACUCAGAUAAAUUCUGUAAGUUUUAAAGUAAUUUCUGUAGAAACCUGUCAGCCUCCUCACCUCUGGUGGGUUCUAAAGGAUUUUCUGUAGAGACUGUAUUCAGUGUGUUCACAGGAAGGCUGGAGGCAUGGAUACAGCUGGACGAUGCAUGUGCCUUAUUCAGUGAAUUACUUACUAGUAGAUAUUAUUUGCUGCCUUGCCAAGCAGCAACAAAAUAGUAACAGAGAGCAGACUCCCGUAUCAGGUAUCACACACGCACCAGCUGUCCCUUUAACCCACUGUUCUCUUCCUUUCUCGUAAAACCCUUCUUUUUUUCAUCUUUAGAUAUUAAUGUUUUUCACUUGUGAAUAACUUUGUUUACAAUGUCACAUCUUAAAUACCCAGUGAAUUAUGGAAAAUUUUGUUUGUCAUGGAAAUAAAAUACUCACUUCACACUGAUAAAAGAAACACAGAAGUUUGCCCUUCCUGUUAGUAUUUGUGUAACUUUAAGGGAUGCCUUUUUGUUAUGCACACAGGUGCCAUGUGAUGCAGGAAUUACCAUGGAAACAACACUAUCAAAUGGCAAAAUCAGGCUUCAGAAUAGCUUUAUAUUAAUCACCUUCAGUUUUUCCAUAUGUUCCAAGUAUUCUUCUCUGCUCAACAUGGAGUGAACAUGAAACAUAACAAAUCUGUGAGCUGAAGGAUGAUACGCUUCACUUGCACAACUUUUCAGUCAUUGACGACCUGUUUUAGUAAUAAAUUCCUGUUGUUCGUAUUAUUAUGUGUAUAAAAAAGGUAAGUCAUGGACAAAGUAUGUAUGUACUUUAUCUACAUAUCCUCAGAAGAUAUUGUAGGGCAGACAUCUGCCAGUGGAGCCUUCAGUACCUUAAGCAGUGGGUAAGUAAUGUUAUUCCCAUAAAAGGUCCAUCACUGGUGCCACACUGUGUUUUAUGGAAUAAAGGAGAAUGGUUAGUUUAUAUUUCCAAGAUACCAUGGAACCUGUGGAUACUUGUCAAUUGAGCACAACCACUAUUUUAUCUGAUUGAGGCCUCUAUCAAACAAUGCUUCCUUCCUUGAAUAUGAAUUUCCUCAUAUGAAAGAGCUUUUAUUUGAUUCUUUUGUAUUAUAAGAUGUUCUCGAAGAAUAUAGAAAAAGUACAUGAUAUAAUGCUGUAAAGAACUUUUCUAACAAGCGUGAUGACUGGGCAAAUGUGUCAAAUGUUCGUAUACAACAAUUCAGAUCAGUACUUUUUUAUUGUAUCAUUCAAGCUUAUUGACUAACAGAACUAAAUAAACAUUCAUAAACCUUUAUACUCUCAGAUUUAGAAAAGAAUGACAAACAAUAGUGAAAAAAUAUGUCAGUGUUUAGUACAACAUACAGUUGUUAAGUAUAUAUGUUAUAUUUAAGACUGACUGUAGCAUGAAAAAAAUACCAACACAACUCUACACAGAUACAUAUUUAAACUAUGACCAUGUCACACAUAACUCCAUCUUUGCUAUUCAGCCACCUAAACUUUUGUUUUCUUACUGGGGCAGAGGAGGAGGUUUCUUUUUCCUAUGUUGACAGUAAAGUAUGUUCUUAAGACAUCAUACGUGAUGAUAUGAAAAAUCCUACUCAGUCCCAGCUGCAAAUGAAUCAUCUCAUGAUUUCAGAGAAGGAAGGAACCAGUGUGGACUGCAAAUGGGCAGAUACAGAAAGGGAGGAAUUUCCAAGAGAUGGAUUUCACUUACAUUGGCUGGUAGAAGGAAAGUUUUAGUGAGGAAUACUUAGAAGAAAAUCAAAGAAUUAGCUGA
Long non-coding RNA from Strigops habroptila (Kakapo), 8551 nucleotides. RefSeq lists it as uncharacterized. The transcript is spliced from 2 exons. The record is from RefSeq and is a predicted model, not a curated record. NCBI's taxonomy places the organism in Eukaryota, Metazoa, Chordata, Aves, Psittaciformes, Psittacidae.